GUCCACGCCGUAAACGAUGGGAACUAGGUGUGGGUGGUGUCGACUCCAUCCGUGCCGAAGCUAACGCAUUAAGUUCCCCGCCUGGGGAGUACGGCCGCAAGGCUAAAACUCAAAGGAAUUGACGGGGGCCCGCACAAGCAGCGGAGCAUGUGGUUUAAUUCGACGCGACGCGAAGAACCUUACCAAGGCUUGACAUGCACUGGAAUGUCGCAGAAAUGCGGCAGCCCUUCGGGGCCAGUGCACAGGUGGUGCAUGGCUGUCGU
Molecule: ribosomal RNA, 263 nt
Filed under: uncultured bacterium
Lineage: Bacteria
Description: partial 16S ribosomal RNA
Rfam family: Bacterial small subunit ribosomal RNA
Source: RNAcentral